GGGUUUUGAGUUGGCAGCAAUUUAUAAUUUGCAAUUAUAAGAGAUAUUAUUAUAGUACCCU
Molecule: transfer RNA, 61 nt
Filed under: Metacrangonyx sp. n. DJ2019
Lineage: Eukaryota; Metazoa; Arthropoda; Malacostraca; Amphipoda; Metacrangonyctidae
Description: tRNA-Ala
Source: RNAcentral